This 245-nucleotide long non-coding RNA is filed under the name Gossypium barbadense (sea-island cotton). RNAcentral's name for it is "long non-coding RNA (GBAR_LNC021013)". Lineage: Eukaryota; Viridiplantae; Streptophyta; Magnoliopsida; Malvales; Malvaceae. The record is from RNAcentral.
CUCAAAAGGAAAGCCCAAGUACAAGACAUACCGGGAGUACAAGCGCUUGACCAUAGGAAGAAGGAAGAGGACGCUGCUCUGACAUAAGCGAUUGGAAGAUCUGAUCUUUCUCUGAAGACUGGUCCGAUUGAUACAAAAAAGAAGUAGAGGUUAUGAAAGAAAUCAUUGUCUUGUCAGCUUCAUAUUCUUAUUUAUUUUAUUUUAAUAAGAUGAUUGGGCCCUACAGUGGUAUAACCGGUGAACCU